Molecule: unclassified non-coding RNA, 556 nt
Filed under: Hevea brasiliensis (rubber tree)
Lineage: Eukaryota; Viridiplantae; Streptophyta; Magnoliopsida; Malpighiales; Euphorbiaceae
Source: RNAcentral
GAGAGAGAGAGAGAGAGAGAGAGAGGAGCACUAAGGUUCUGAGUCAUCUUCCCAAUCCCCAGUCUCCUCUUCUGCAAUGGUUUCCAGCCCAGGAGAAUUAGCAGUCUUGGGCAGAGAUAUGAAAAGGGCUGGUGCAACUUCAACCCAACAACUCAAAUCUUUAAUCUGCUUUGCCAUUUCAGAAACAGAGUCUUUCCCGGCUACAGUUUCAAGACCCAGAAGAGAAACUAAAUCCCAAAUAAUGAAGAUUGGUUGUUUCUACUGUUGCAGCUUCUUCAAGAAAAAGAGAUGAUUGAGAGAUUAUGCGGUACACUAUAGGACUUAAGAGAAGCUAAGUACACGUGAGAAAUAUGAACCUGUUACACGCGGAAACGAGCUUACCAUACACUUCCCAACCAUUGACUGGAAGACUGAGUAGAGUGAGAUUGAUUCCUUCGAGGUAAGAAGGCCACGGUCCGAUUCCGGUUCAUUGUAUGAGAUCAACCUGAAUCAAAUUAAAAGGGUUGAUUUUUCAUGGUUCUAAAUCAAUUCUGGAGCAAAUCAAGGAUAAUUUAGA